RNAcentral lists this ribosomal RNA (334 nucleotides) under uncultured Glissomonadida. Its description in RNAcentral is "SSU rRNA". The stretch from base 109 to 334 matches the Rfam family "Eukaryotic small subunit ribosomal RNA", at positions 734 to 955 of the family's 1831-position model. Lineage: Eukaryota; Cercozoa; Glissomonadida. The record is from RNAcentral.
GAUUUCUGACGAAACUGCUAGCUGGCCCGCCACGCAAGUGUGUGAGUGCCGGCUUGGCGUUUGUCAUCCGUUCGAAUGAUAUGCGUGCUGCCCUUCACUGGGUUGGCGCUGCAUGUUUUCGAUCUUUUACUUUGAAAAAAUUAGAGUGUUUCAAGCAGGCAUGUUUUGCUAUGAAUACAUUAGCAUGGAAUAAUAAUCUAGGACUUUCGGUUCUAUUUUGUUGGUUUCUAGAGCGUGGGAGUAAUGAUUGAUAGGGACAGUUGGGGGUGCUAGUAUUCAGCGGCCAGAGGUGAAAUUCAUGGAUUCGCUGAAGACUGACUUAUGCGAAAGCAUU